CCUACGGGAGGCAGCAGUGAGGAAUAUUGGUCAAUGGACGAGAGUCUGAACCAGCCAAGUAGCGUGAAGGAUGACUGCCCUAUGGGUUGUAAACUUCUUUUAUAUGGGAAUAAAAUGUUCCACGUGUGGGAUUUUGUAUGUACCAUAUGAAUAAGGAUCGGCUAACUCCGUGCCAGCAGCCGCGGUAAUACGGAGGAUCCGAGCGUUAUCCGGAUUUAUUGGGUUUAAAGGGAGCGUAGGUGGAUUGUUAAGUCAGUUGUGAAAUUUUGGGGCUCAACCGCGAAAUUGCAGUUGAAACUGGAAGUCUUGAGUGUAGUAGAGGUAGGCGGAAUUCGUGGUGUAGCGGUGAAAUGCGUAGAUAUCACGAAGAACACCGAUUGCGAAGGCAGCUUACUGGACUGUAACUGACGCUGAGGCUCGAAAGUGUGGGUAGCAAACAGGAUUAGAUACCCGUGUAGUC
Molecule: ribosomal RNA, 460 nt
Filed under: uncultured bacterium
Lineage: Bacteria
Description: partial 16S ribosomal RNA
Rfam family: Bacterial small subunit ribosomal RNA
Source: RNAcentral